Non-coding RNA from Paramuricea clavata, 711 nucleotides. The record is from the annotation of a GenBank genome assembly. Lineage: Eukaryota; Metazoa; Cnidaria; Anthozoa; Malacalcyonacea; Plexauridae.
GACCAUUUGUUUUGAAAGCACUCAUCGUCCAAAUGAAAACUUGAAUAUCGUGAAAUCCCUGUAAACUAUCCUCGGUUUACAGGACUACAACUUUAAAAUGCAAUUUGUAUUCUCUCCUCUGAACCGCAAAAUCGACUGGCGACAAUUAGGUAUGUACGGUAGGCACAAAAUAACAUUGAUGAAACUAUAAAUCAGAGUUAUAAACAUGGCGCCCUCGAAAUUAUAGGUGUGCCUGUAAAACCAAACUGACUGAAACAACCAGUAAAUUAGUUAAGAUUCAAAAUGAACCUGAUACAAGCAAUUUGUUGGUUCGUUUAACGAAUUUGUUUUUACCAUAUGCAUGCAGUGGUUAGGUUAAACAAUACUUGCAGCAUUUCAGUACGACUGUACAGUGUUGGUCUUAACUAUUUCAUGUUUAGCUUUGUAUAUAUUUACCAAAAGAACACCCAUGCAUGCAUCAUGCUCAAUUGAGACUGAUCAAAAAUUUUCACAUAAAAAAGUUCAGCCCACGAAAUCCCUCAAAUGAUGUGAGAUCUCGAGUAUCCAGCUUAUACAAUGUUUGGAAAUAUUCUGAAUUCAGAUGCAACUGAAAGUAUUAUUUUGUGCUUCAGCUUUCAUUGAUAUCGAGAAGGUGAUUGAUGAUGUUGAUCUUCAUGUUCUGGUGGAAAAUUUGGCGAAUAUUAGUCUUUGUGAUAUUGCACAGGAAAUGGU